GAUGAAGAACGCAGCGAAAUGAGAUAAGUAAUGUGAAUUGCAGAAUUCAGUGAAUCAUCGAAUCUUUGAACGCACAUUGCGCCCGCCAGUAUUCUGGCGGGCAUGCCUGUUCGAGCGUCAUUUCAACCAUCAAGCCCCCGGCUUGUGUUGGGGACCUGCGGCUGCCGCAGGCCCUGAAAACCAGUGGCGGGCUCGCUAGUCACUCCGAGCGUAGUAAUACAUCUCGCUCAGGGCGUGCUGCGGGUUCCGGCCGUUAAAAAGCCUUAUUUACCCAAGGUUGACCUCGGAUCAGGUAGGAAGACCCGCUGAACUUAAGCAUAUCAAUAAGCGGAGGA
Molecule: unclassified non-coding RNA, 335 nt
Filed under: soil metagenome
Description: partial contains 5.8S ribosomal RNA, internal transcribed spacer 2, and large subunit ribosomal RNA
Rfam family: 5.8S ribosomal RNA (bases 1-120)
Source: RNAcentral